Molecule: ribosomal RNA, 301 nt
Filed under: uncultured bacterium
Lineage: Bacteria
Description: partial 16S ribosomal RNA
Rfam family: Bacterial small subunit ribosomal RNA
Source: RNAcentral
CAGUCGCCGCGGUAAUACGGAGGGGGCUAGCGUUGUUCGAAACUACUGGGCGUAAAGCGUACGUAGGCGGCUUUGUAAGUUAGAGGUGAAAGCCUGGUGCUCAACACCAGAACUGCCUUUAAGACUGCAUCGCUUGAACGUCGGAGAGGUGAGUGGAAUUCCGAGUGUAGAGGCGAAAUUCGUAGAUAUUCGGAAGAACACCAGUGGCGAAGGCGGCUCACUGGACGACUGUUGACGCUGAGGUACGAAAGCGUGGGGAGCAAACAGGAUUAGAUACCCGGGUAGUCCCUGUCUCUUAUAC